UCCAGCUUAUCGCUGGCGGUCUCCUGAGAGUGCCUAUUAGUUGCAACACAGGACAAGGGUUGCGCUCGUUGCGGGACUUAACCCAACAUCUCACGACACGAGCUGACGACAGCCAUGCAGCACCUCGACUCCUGUCCCUUGCGGGAAAACUCCUAUUUCUAAGAGCGAUCAGAAGCCGUUCGAGCCCAGGUAAGGUUCUUCGCGUUGCGUCGAAUUAAACCACAUGCUCCACCGCUUGUGCGGGCCCCCGUCAAUUCCUUUGAGUUUCAGCCUUGCGGCCGUACUCCCCAGGCGGGGCACUUAUCGCGUUAGCUGCGACACGGAAGGGGUCGAUCCCACCCGCGUCUAGUGCCCAUCGUUUACGGCGUGGACUAC
RNAcentral lists this unclassified non-coding RNA (375 nucleotides) under uncultured bacterium. RNAcentral describes it as "contains 16S-23S intergenic spacer region". The record is from RNAcentral.